Molecule: ribosomal RNA, 430 nt
Filed under: Pleosporaceae sp. bc_besc_42e
Lineage: Eukaryota; Fungi; Ascomycota; Dothideomycetes; Pleosporales; Pleosporaceae
Description: eukaryotic LSU rRNA
Rfam family: 5.8S ribosomal RNA (bases 61-214)
Source: RNAcentral
AUAGGACACUUCAAAACCUUUUGUAAUUGCAAUCAGCGUCAGAAAAACUAUAAUAGUUACAACUUUCAACAACGGAUCUCUUGGUUCUGGCAUCGAUGAAGAACGCAGCGAAAUGCGAAAAGUAGUGUGAAUUGCAGAAUUCAGUGAAUCAUCGAAUCUUUGAACGCACAUUGCGCCCCUUGGUAUUCCAUGGGGCAUGCCUGUUCGAGCGUCAUUUGUACCCUCAAGCUCUGCUUGGUGUUGGGUGUUUGUCCCGCCUUCGCGUGUGGACUCGCCUUAAAGUCAUUGGCAGCCGGAAUAAUUCUGGGGAACGCAGCACAACUGCAGCCUCCAUUUUACGCCGAGCGUCCAGUAAGCCUUUUUUUCACGUUUGACCUCGGAUCAGGUAGGGAUACCCGCUGAACUUAAGCAUAUCAAUAAGCGGAGGAAA